GGUUAACCGUAUUCUGAAACACGAAAAAAAUCAUUGGGUUAUCAAAUUAUCUAUCGAGCCAUGAAAAUAAUUCAACAAAAGACAUAAACAAAUCCACUAUCUGUUUUACGUCAAGCAAUACAUGGAGUAACUCCCGAUAUAGCAGUAAAAGCAAGACAUGUAGGUGGAUCGACUCAUCAAGUUCCCAUUGAAAUAGGAUCCACACAAGAAAAACACUUGCCAUUUGUUGGUUAUUAGCGGCAUCCAGAAAAUGUCCAGGUUGAAAUAUGGCUUUCAAAUUAAGUUUCGAUUAGUGGAUGCUGCCAAAGGGAGUGGCGAUGCCAUACGCAAAAAGGAAGAGACUCAUAAAAUGGUAGAGGCAAAUAGAGCUUUUGCACAUUUUCUUUAAUCCAUGAACAUGAUCUAUACAUCUCGAUCAGAAAAGAAUCAAGAGAAAAAGAAAUCGGAAUUGAUCGAUAGAUUUCUCAAAACAAACAAAAAAGAAACGAAAGAUGAAACAUAAGUCAUGGAUCAACUAAGCCUUCUCUUAGAGAAGGGGCCUAGCGUGCCAAUUAUUUUGCUACAACUACUAUGAUUUCCACUGCUCCUCCUUUUUUUGCUACCUUACUGAAGUCUUAUUGCUAUGCUUUUUGUAGCUAUGUUUUUUGUGCCCUAUUUUUAUUUUGCAUCUCUGGUCAAUUUAGACUUAUAGAAGAACCAAAGGUGGGGAACAAUUUCCUAAUCUAACUCUAAGAGUGGGUGGCACCGGCCCUGAUUGCUUUCAUUUCGUAGCUGGCGUAUUCGUCACUUUUUCAGCCAGUGUAGCUAACGAAGGCUCUGCAAGCUUGUUGUUUGAUGGAAUGACCUCAUUUGAUGAAGAUCAACAGGAGCUUCCGCUAGUUAGAAAAUCAAUCUCUUAAUAAAUGGUGCAGCAGUGACUGGACAUCUAGGGGUAAAGUACUGUUUCAGUGCAGGCCACGAGAGCGGUACCAAAUCGAGGCAAACUCUGAAUAAGCUUCAUUGUCGAGAGGGAGACAGCCCGGAUAAGCUUCAUCGUCGAGAGGGAAACAGCCCGGAUCACCAGCUAAGGCCCCUAAAUGAUCGCUCAGUGAUAAAGGAGGUAGGGGUGUAGAGACAGCCAAGAGGUUUGCUUAGAAGCAGCCACCAUUGAAAGAGUGCAUAAUAGCUCACUGAUCGAGUGCUCUUGUACCGAAGAUGAAUGGGGCUAAGCGAUCUACUGAAGCUAUGGGAUGUAAAAAUACAUCAGUAGGGGAGCAUUCCGCCGUAGAGGGAAACCUCCGUGCGAGCAGCGGUGGAUAAAGUGGAAGCGAGAAUGUCGGCUUGAGUUAUGCAAAUAUUGGUGAGAAUCCAAUGCCCCAAAAACCUAUGGGUUCCUCCGCAAGGUUCGUCCACAGAGGGUGAGUCAGGGCCUAAGAUCAGGCCAGAAGGCAUAGUCGAUGGACAAUAGGUGAAUAUUUUUGUAAUACACCUUGUUUGUCCAGAGGGACGGAACAGGCUAGGUUAGCCGAAAGAUGGUUAUCGAUUCAAGAACGUAAGGUACCUCUGCUUUUUCAGGGUAAGAAGGGGUAGAGAAAAUGCUUCAAGCCAAUGUUUGAGUACCAGGCGCUACGGCACUGAAGUAACCUAUGCCAUACUCCCAAGAAAAGCUUGAACGACCUUUAAACAUAAACAAAGGGUACCUAUACCUGAAACCGAAACAGGUGGUUAGGUAGAGAAUACCUAGGUGUGUGAGACAACUCUCUUUAAGGAACUCAGCAAAAUAGCCCCGUAACUUCGAGAGAAGGGGUGCCUCCUCACAAAGGGGUCGCAGUGACCAGGCCUGAGCGACUGCUUACUAAAAACAUAGGUCUCCGCAAAGUCGUAAGACCAUGUAUGGGGGCUGACGCCUGCCCAGUGCCGGAAGGUCAAGGAAGUUGGUGACCUGAUGAUAGGGGAGCCGACAACUGAAGCCUUGGUGAAUGGCGGCUGUAACUAUAAUGGUCCUAAGGUAGCAAAAUUCCUUGUCUGGUAAGUUUUGACCCACACGAAAGGAGUAACGAUCUGGGCAGUGUCUCGAAGAGAGGCUCGAUGAAAUAGACAUGUCUGUGAAAAUGCAGACUACCUGCACCUAGACAGAAAGACCCUAUGAAGCUUGACUGUUCCCUGAGAUUGGGUUUGGGCCUUUCCUGCGCAGCUUAAGUGAAAGGCGAAGAAGGCCUCCUUCCCGGGGGGCCCGAGCCAUCAGUGAGAUACCACUCUGGAAGAGCUAGAUUUCUAACCUUGUGUCAGGACCUACGGGCUAAGGGACAAUCUCAGGUAGACAGUUUCUAUAGGGCAUAGGCCUCCCAAAAGGUAACGGAGGCGUGCAAAGGUUUCCUCGGGCCGGAUGGAGAUUGACCCUCGAGUGCAAAGGCAGAAGGGAGCUUGAUUGUAAGACCCACCCAUCGAGCAGGGACGAAAGUCGGCUUUAGUGAUCCAAUGGUGCCGAGUGGAAGGGCCGUCGCUCAACGGAUAAAAGUUACUCUGGAUAACAGGCUGAUCUUUCCAAAGAGCUCACAUCGAUGGGAAGGUUUGGCUCCUUGAUGUCGGCUCUUCGCCACCUGGGGCUGUAGUAUGUUCCAAGGGUUGGGUUGUUCCCAUUAAAGCUGUACGUGAGCUGGGUUCAGAACAUUGUGAGGUAGUUUGGUCCAUAUCCAGUGUGGGCGUUAGAGCAUUGAGAGGACCUUUCCCUAGUACGAGAGGACCGGGAAGGACGCACCUCAGGUGUACCAGUUAUCAUGCCCACAAUAAAUGCUGGGUAGCUAAGUGUGGAGCGGAUAACUGCUGAAAGCAUCUAACUAGUAAGCCCACCCCAAGAUGAGUGAUCUCCUAUUCCAACUUUCCCAAAGCUUCCAGUAGCACAGCCAAGGCAGCGACGGUUCUCUGCCCUUUCGGGGAUGGAGCGACAGAAGUUUUAAGAAUUUAAGAGAAGGUCACAAUGAGACGAGCCGUUUAUCUUUACGAUAGGUGUCAAGUGGAAGUGCAGUGAUGUAUGCAGCUAGGGAAUCCUAACAGACUGGUAGACUUGAAC
Molecule: ribosomal RNA, 3049 nt
Filed under: Pogostemon cablin (patchouli)
Lineage: Eukaryota; Viridiplantae; Streptophyta; Magnoliopsida; Lamiales; Lamiaceae
Description: bacterial LSU rRNA
Rfam family: Bacterial large subunit ribosomal RNA (bases 720-3046)
Source: RNAcentral